CACGAGGGUCUCACUGUCUUAAGGAAAUUUCCAGUGAAAUUGAAUUUGUAGUGAAGAUGCUACAUCCAAAUUGUUAGACAAGAAGUCCCCAUGGAACUUUACUGGAGACUUAUGUGGCUUAAAUUAAUUUAUUUCUUACAAAUAAAUAGUUUUAAAAUGUGGUGUUAACCCCUCAGAUUAACUAGGGUUAUAAAAGCUCACUCUUUUAUUUAAAGAAAGCCAACUCAAAAAUUUAUGUCUUUGGGAUUUGAUAAGUGGGACAGUUUGGUUGGGGCGACCGCCUUUAAAAAAGUAACGAAGGCGGGCUUAAGAUACAUAUUUAGUGAUGUCUGACUGCCAAGGGGAGAUCCUGAGCAGACACUUACUUUUUAGGUGGGUUUAAGUGACCCGUUGAUUUAGGGUGAAAUAGUUAACGAUAAACA
Molecule: ribosomal RNA, 422 nt
Filed under: Flabellum alabastrum
Lineage: Eukaryota; Metazoa; Cnidaria; Anthozoa; Scleractinia; Flabellidae
Description: partial 16S ribosomal RNA
Rfam family: Bacterial large subunit ribosomal RNA
Source: RNAcentral